RNAcentral lists this ribosomal RNA (468 nucleotides) under uncultured bacterium. RNAcentral describes it as "partial 16S ribosomal RNA". It matches the Rfam family "Bacterial small subunit ribosomal RNA", at positions 28 to 507 of the family's 1533-position model. The record is from RNAcentral.
GACGAACGCUGGCGGCGUGCUUAACACAUGCAAGUCGAACGGAGAGGCCCUGCUUUUGUGGGGUGCUCGAGUGGCGAACGGGUGAGUAACACGUGAGUAACCUGCCCUUGACUUUGGGAUAACUUCAAGAAACUGGGGCUAAUACCGGAUAGGAGCUCCUGCUGCAUGGUGGGGGUUGGAAAGUUUCGGCGGUUGGGGAUGGACUCGCGGCUUAUCAGCUUGUUGGUGGGGUAGUGGCUUACCAAGGCUUUGACGGGUAGCCGGCCUGAGAGGGUGACCGGCCACAUUGGGACUGAGAUACGGCCCAGACUCCUACGGGAGGCAGCAGUGGGGAAUAUUGCACAAUGGGCGGAAGCCUGAUGCAGCAACGCCGCGUGCGGGAUGACGGCCUUCGGGUUGUAAACCGCUUUCGCCUGUGACGAAGCGUGAGUGACGGUAAUGGGUAAAGAAGCACCGGCUAACUACGUG